AGAGUUUGAUCCUGGCUCAGAACGUACGCUGGCGGCACGCCUAACACAUGCAAGUCGAACGCAGUAGCAAUACUGAGUGGCAAACGGGUGAGUAUAAUGUGGGAAUCUGCCUUUUGGUCUGGAAUAACACGAGGAAACUUGUGCUAAUACCGGAUAAGCCUUCACAGGGAAAGUUUUAAUGCCAAAAGAUGAGCCCGCACUUGAUUAGCUAGUUGGUAAGGUAAUAGCUUACCAAGGCAACGAUCAAUAGCUGUUCUUAGAGGAAGACCAGCCACAUUGGGACUGAGACACGGCCCAAACUCCUACGGGAGGCAGCAGUGGGGAAUCUUGCACAAUGGGGGAAACCCUGAUGCAGCGAUGCCGCGUGAGUGAAGAAGGCCUUUGGGUUGUAAAACUCUUUCGUCGGGGAAGAAAAUGACUGUACCCGAAUAAGAAGGUCCGGCUAACUUCGUGCCAGCAGCCGCGGUAAUACGAAGGGACCUAGCGUAGUUCGGAAUUACUGGGCUUAAAGAGUUCGUAGGUGGUUAAAAAAGUUGAUGGUGAAAUCCCAAGGCUCAACCUUGGAACUGCCAUCAAAACUUUUUAGCUAGAGUAUGAUAGAGGAAAGUGGAAUUUCUAGUGUAGAGGUGAAAUUCGUAGAUAUUAGAAAGAACAUCAAAAGCGAAGGCAACUUUCUGGAUCAUUACUGACACUGAGGAACGAAAGCAUGGGUAGCGAAGAGGAUUAGAUACCCUCGUAGUCCAUGCCGUAAACGAUGUGUGCUAGACGUUGGAAACUUAGUUUUCAGUGUCGCAGCGAAAGCAUUAAGCACACCGCCUGGGGAGUACGACCGCAAGGUUAAAACU
RNAcentral lists this ribosomal RNA (845 nucleotides) under uncultured bacterium. RNAcentral describes it as "bacterial SSU rRNA". It matches the Rfam family "Bacterial small subunit ribosomal RNA", at positions 8 to 901 of the family's 1533-position model. The record is from RNAcentral.